RNAcentral lists this long non-coding RNA (832 nucleotides) under Homo sapiens (human). RNAcentral's name for it is "non-protein coding UBA6-AS1:19". The record is from RNAcentral. Lineage: Eukaryota; Metazoa; Chordata; Mammalia; Primates; Hominidae.
ACCAAGAUCUGGAAGCCCUCCAACAUUUUCAAAACAGAACUGCUUAUUAAUAUAGAGAAAAAGAAGCAGCAUCAGGAUAAUAAACACCCAAACAGCUGACAAAAACCCAACUGCCUCUGGAGAUACUUUUCUAAAACAGCCAGAACAGGAAUGCUGCUGGAAGAGCAAGAAUGAAAAUCAUCACAUAAAUUUGGGCCAUCCUGGUGAUGUCAGGAUCCACUUAAGAGCAGGAAGAUGCUGUCAGUAUUGAGAAAGAUGGCCCAGCAAGGAAAACAGCACAGCAUCAAGAUAAGGAUUCCUCUUUGAAGAAAGCUUCCUGCUGACUCAAAAGGAUUUUUCUUCUUCUGAACUCCUAUUAUGGGAAUGGAUGAAAUCACUUACAGAGCCACAGAAGGAAACAAAGCAAAGCCAGGAUCAUGAGUUGGAUUAUCUGGAGGCCUAGGCCAAUGGGGAGUUAUUGCUUGCAGUCACUGAUCAAGCAAAUAAACUUUUCCUUCUUUCUUAUGAAAUUUAUUUAAGAAGCUGAAAUUACUUAAAUGAUAAUGAGUUGUGAGAAAAGAAUUGUAGUAGAUAUUUGUUCUCUAUCCAAAUUGCACUGAGUGGGGAGGUGUACCCAUACCCCAGCUUCGAGAAUUGACUGAUAACAGUUCACACCUGCACUUCUCCAGAGAAUUGUCCUUGUCUGACCUGAGCACCUUGUUUAGUAAUGUCUGGUAGGCUAUGCUCCACCUUCCCUGGGCAGAUCCACUGGUCUAAGACAAACAACCCAACCCUCUAAUUUCUGGGAAGAAUCACCUCCGUGAUUAAUCUAAGCUCCAGAUCUCCCAGAGAA